ACAGCUCCAGGACUAACUCGGACUUGCAAGGCAACACACCAGCAAAGCUUUCUGUCUCCAUCUCUGAGCAAAAGGAGCUUCUCCAUCCCCACUGCCUGGAGUAACUGUGUACCCGAUGAUGAUUUUGCUCACAUAGCUUUGGAGACCUUGGUCUCCUCCCUGUGCCACCUCUUGUCUGAGCUGAGGCAUCCUCCCACAUGGAGAAAGGAGCUUCAAAAAUCACUGGUCAAUCCAUUCUUCUUCAUGCCUUGUCAGUCCUUGCUAAGAGGGGGUGUGAGACGUUCCCCCCCCCAUAAGUCACGACUUAGGCGAACCUCAGGAUCAUCUUCUCAUGAUGGCUUUUAAAAAGGAAGGCUUUGCCUUCCUUUGCUUCAGCCUUUCAGUGAUCCUUUGAGAUCCCCACGUGUUUUUGACCAUUCCUGAGCCCCAAGCUGGAAUUUCUAAAGCACUACCAGCAGCAAGCCCAAGCAAAACAGUGAUGGCUGAGAGCAGAAGGAAGCAGCGUGUGCUCAUAGUGUGGAGAACUGCGCAUGCAGGUAAGCUCUGAACAAUUUCUGAUUUUAUACUUUGCCAGUGUGUUAUUUAUGCUCUUGGAUCAUGAGGCACAUCUGCUUGGUCAGCCUUGAAAGUGGCUUGGCUCCAGCAAUCAAGACAAGCAGACCAAAGCAUUUCCAAAUUCUUGGUCAUGUUUGAGAUCUCCCUGCGUUCCUGGCUGGGUUAUGUGAAUG
This 728-nucleotide long non-coding RNA is filed under the name Junco hyemalis (dark-eyed junco). RNAcentral's name for it is "lncRNA (ENSJHYG00000011645.1)". Lineage: Eukaryota; Metazoa; Chordata; Aves; Passeriformes; Passerellidae. The record is from RNAcentral.